CCCUACGGGGCGCAGCAGUCGCGAAAACUUCACAAUGGGGGCAACCCCGAUGAGGGAAUUCCUAGUGCUAGCACAUUUGUGUUAGCUUUUCUCUAGCGUAGAUAACUAGAGGAAUAAGGGCUGGGAAAGACGGGUGCCAGCCGCCGCGGUAAUACCUGCAGCCCAAGUGGUGGUCGAUUUUAUUGGGUCUAAAACGUUCGUAGCCGGUUCGAUAAAUCUUUGGGUAAAUCGGGGGGCUUAACCUUCCGUCUUCCGAGGAGACUGUCGAACUUGGGACCGGGAGAGGCUAGAGGUACUUCUGGGGUAGGGGUAAAAUCCUGUAAUCCUAGAAGGACCACCGGUGGCGAAGGCGUCUAGCUAGAACGGAUCCGACGGUGAGGGACGAAGCCCUGGGUCGCAAACGGGAUUAGAUACCCCGGUAGUCCAGGGUGUAAACGCUGCAGACUUGGUGUUGGAAGCCCUUUGGGGGCAUUCAGUGCCGGAGAGAAGUUGUUAAGUCUGCUACUUGGGGAGUACGUCCGCAAGGAUGAAACUUAAAGGAAUUGGCGGGGGAGCACCGCAACGGGAGGAGCGUGCGGUUUAAUUGGAUUCAACACCGUAAAACUCACCAGGGAAGACU
This 619-nucleotide ribosomal RNA is filed under the name uncultured archaeon. Its description in RNAcentral is "bacterial SSU rRNA". It matches the Rfam family "Archaeal small subunit ribosomal RNA", at positions 321 to 941 of the family's 1478-position model. The record is from RNAcentral.